Molecule: transfer RNA, 70 nt
Filed under: Dipodomys ordii (Ord's kangaroo rat)
Lineage: Eukaryota; Metazoa; Chordata; Mammalia; Rodentia; Heteromyidae
Rfam family: tRNA
About the family: Transfer RNA (tRNA) molecules are approximately 80 nucleotides in length. Their secondary structure includes four short double-helical elements and three loops (D, anti-codon, and T loops). Further hydrogen bonds mediate the characteristic L-shaped molecular structure. tRNAs have two regions of fundamental functional importance: the anti-codon, which is responsible for specific mRNA codon recognition, and the 3' end, to which the tRNAs corresponding amino acid is attached (by aminoacyl-tRNA synthetases). tRNAs cope with the degeneracy of the genetic code in two manners: having more than one tRNA (with a specific anti-codon) for a particular amino acid; and 'wobble' base-pairing, i.e. permitting non-standard base-pairing at the 3rd anti-codon position.
Source: Rfam by way of RNAcentral
GGGAAUGUGGCUUAGUGGUAGAGUGCUUGCCUAACAUGCAUGAAGCCCUGGGUUCAAUACCUCAGUACCA